RNAcentral lists this ribosomal RNA (492 nucleotides) under uncultured bacterium. RNAcentral describes it as "partial 16S ribosomal RNA". It matches the Rfam family "Bacterial small subunit ribosomal RNA", at positions 29 to 507 of the family's 1533-position model. The record is from RNAcentral.
AGUGAACGCUGGCGGUAGGCCUAACACUUGCAAGUCGAACGGCAGCACAGUAAGAGCUUGCUCUUACGGGUGGCGAGUGGCGGACGGGUGAGGAAUACAUCGGAAUCUACUUUUUCGUGGGGGAUAACGUAGGGAAACUUACGCUAAUACCGCAUACGACCUACGGGUGAAAGCAGGGGAUCUUCGGUCCUUGCGCGAUUGAAUGAGCCGAUGUCGGAUUAGCUAGUUGGCGGGGUAAAGGCCCACCAAGGCGACGAUCCGUAGCUGGUCUGAGAGGAUGAUCAGCCACACUGGAACUGAGACACGGUCCAGACUCCUACGGGAGGCAGCAGUGGGGAAUAUUGGACAAUGGGCGCAAGCCUGAUCCAGCCAUACCGCGUGGGUGAAGAAGGCCUUCGGGUUGUAAAGCCCUUUUGUUGGGAAAGAAAAGCAGCAGGUUAAUACCCCGCUGUUCCGACGGUACCCAAAGAAUAAGCACCGGCUAACUUCGUG